RNAcentral lists this ribosomal RNA (253 nucleotides) under uncultured bacterium. RNAcentral describes it as "partial 16S ribosomal RNA". It matches the Rfam family "Bacterial small subunit ribosomal RNA", at positions 524 to 776 of the family's 1533-position model. The record is from RNAcentral.
UACGAAGGGGGCUAGCGUUGUUCGGAAUCACUGGGCGUAAAGGGCGCGUAGGCGGCUUUAUAAGUCGGGGGUGAAAGCCUGUGGCUCAACCACAGAAUUGCCUUCGAUGCUGUAGAGCUUGAGACCGGAAGAGGUAAGUGGAACUGCGAGUGUAGAGGUGAAAUUCGUAGAUAUUCGCAAGAACACCAGUGGCGAAGGCGGCUUACUGGUCCGGUUCUGACGCUGAGGCGCGAAAGCGUGGGGAGCAAACAGG